RNAcentral lists this ribosomal RNA (253 nucleotides) under uncultured bacterium. Its description in RNAcentral is "partial 16S ribosomal RNA". It matches the Rfam family "Bacterial small subunit ribosomal RNA", at positions 524 to 776 of the family's 1533-position model. The record is from RNAcentral.
UACGGAGGGUGCAAGCGUUAAUCGGAAUUACUGGGCGUAAAGCGCACGUAGGUGGUUUGGUAAGUCGAGUGUGAAAUCCCCGGGCUCAACCUGGGCACUGCAUUCGAGACUGCCAAGCUAGAGUAUGGUAGAGGGUAGUGGAAUUCCCGGUGUAGCGGUGAAAUGCGUAGAUAUCGGGAGGAACAUCAGUGGCGAAGGCGACUACCUGGACUGAUACUGACACUGAGGUGCGAAAGCGUGGGGAGCAAACAGG